This 274-nucleotide ribosomal RNA is filed under the name uncultured bacterium. RNAcentral describes it as "partial 16S ribosomal RNA". It matches the Rfam family "Bacterial small subunit ribosomal RNA", at positions 523 to 796 of the family's 1533-position model. The record is from RNAcentral.
AGACGUAGGGGGCGAGCGUUAUCCGGAUUUACUGGGCGUAAAGCGCGCGCAGGCGGCCACGUAAGUCGAGCGUGAAAGCUCCCGGCUCAACCGGGAGAGGUCGUUCGAUACUGCGUGGCUUGAGGUCGGGAGAGGGGGGUGGAAUUCCCGGUGUAGCGGUGAAAUGCGCAGAUAUCGGGAGGAACACCAGUGGGGAAGCCGGCCCCCUGGCCCGCACCUGACGCUCAGGCGCGAAAGCGUGGGGAGCGAAGGGGAUUAGAAACCCUAGUAGUCC